CCGCCCUCCCGCAGGAAUCCCGGGCGGCGCGGCGGCUCCGGGACGCGCGGCUCCGCGGGGCUGCACAGCAGCGGCAGCGGCAGCAGGAGAGCAGCGAGCGGGGGAGCCGCGCUGCCAGCAGCAGCCGCCGCCUCACGCUGCGGCACCGGCACGGCCAGCGCAGGUGGGUGCGCAGCGCCCGCUCCCGCCCGGACACCGCCGGAGCCGAGUGCGGCCGAGGGGCUCGGGGGGCUCGGGCUGGGGCUGGUUUGGUGGCACUGGGGCGGUGCCCGGCGCACCUGAGCGGCCGCAGCCCGGCUGGGAUGGUGACCGCGUCCCGGGGGAGCCGCUCCCGUCCGGGAGUGGCCGGCGCUGCUGGGAAGGCGAGAGCGCUACCUGGACGUGUGCGUCGGCGCUUGGGAAUUUUAUUUCUUUCUUAUAUCAUCUUCAGGUGGCAGUGUAGAAGCCAAGAACAAGAAUUGGCAGAAAUUGUGUUCUGUGUACGAGACUAUGAAGAGUGUACUCAUGACUAAGCACAGGAACCUGGAAAACCACAGGGGAGCAGUUUGCCUAAACCUUCCAGCUACUCCUGAGAGAACGUGGUUCUACUGCAGAUUCCCAUGGAUGACCAAGCCACCUUGUGUCAGCCCCUGUGCAGGAGCUGGCCUUGGGCAUGGUUUGGGUUAUGCCCAAUUGCAAAGUGAAUUAUUUAUUUUGCUGUAAAAAUGGGCCAAGGCUGUGCACCCCACAGGUACAACCAACCAGCUGUCACCAGUAAACUGUUAAAUUACAGUGACUUGGCAUCUUGAGAUUAUAGAGUCCAAGUAGAAAUUAUUAAUUGUUUCCAUCCAGUGCUUAAAGCAGUGACCAGAAAACCAAAUUCCAGGUGUGACUUUGUGGACACUCAAGCCCUGGAAUUGUUAGGUCUCUGUAGAAAAGCUGAGUCUCUUUUGGGGAAUAGUGAGACCCUGAUCUCUGGUUUUGGGUACAUCAUAAUGCUUUCAAAAUUCUGUGUGCAUUGGAUAGAAUACCCUGCAAAGCUUUCAAAGUUCUUCACUUACAAAUGAAAAGGUGGCUAAAUCUGGGUCUUCAGGCUGGUGUGCAGAAGAGAGCUCUUCUAAGCAUCUGGCUGUCUUGUUUCUCUUGUCAGCUGUUACUUCUGAAUGAGCAUCAGCACUAACUUCCAUAUAAACUAAUAGUUCUUUUAUUAUUAUAUGUUAUUGAGCAACAGGGUUUGAAUAUCCAUCAAAAACUCACAUUAAUAUCCCUGAUAAAGUCAGUGGAACUGUUUAUGUAGUACAGGUCAGCAUAUGCUUAUGGCUUUGUUGAACAUUGUUCAGUUCAUUAGCUUCUGCUAACACAUUUAGAAGAGAAAAUAAAAAUGUCAUUUGUCAUUGGCA
Molecule: long non-coding RNA, 1379 nt
Filed under: Junco hyemalis (dark-eyed junco)
Lineage: Eukaryota; Metazoa; Chordata; Aves; Passeriformes; Passerellidae
Description: lncRNA (ENSJHYG00000013276.1)
Source: RNAcentral